Molecule: long non-coding RNA, 484 nt
Filed under: Carica papaya (papaya)
Lineage: Eukaryota; Viridiplantae; Streptophyta; Magnoliopsida; Brassicales; Caricaceae
Description: long non-coding RNA (CPAP_LNC016577)
Source: RNAcentral
UCAAUUGAAUUUUUCUUUCGGUGUACUUGGAUUUGUAACUGUAUUUGAGUUUGUUUAUAUUUUUUUUUCCAAUUUUAGUUUCUAAUUAUAAUUUGUUUGCUUUGCAUUGUUCAUAUCGAUCUAUCGUCAUGUAGCUUUUUAGUGUUCAAAUCCAUGUAGCUUUGUAGCUUUUUAGUGUUAAACUAAGUUAUGGUAGUAUAAUUUAAAAAUUAUUAUUUGAUUAAUUAGUAAAAAAUAAAAAUAAUUGACUAAUCAGAUAAUAAAACAAUGAGGUAAAAUUUCAUACGAACUCGCUUCCUCUGUCGCUCUGGUUCUCUUCUUCGUACACACUCUCCCUCUUUUGUCGCUCACAGACCGUAAAGCACGCCGAUGGCUAUACCGAGAACCUGCCAGCGUAAGUAAGAUAGCCACUAUUCGCAGGUUUGCUAUAACAAGUAAUUAUAUAAAAUCAUUAAAAUAAAAAUUGAAUUUUCAUCACUUACGG